This 218-nucleotide ribosomal RNA is filed under the name uncultured bacterium. RNAcentral's name for it is "partial 16S ribosomal RNA". It matches the Rfam family "Bacterial small subunit ribosomal RNA", at positions 326 to 539 of the family's 1533-position model. The record is from RNAcentral.
GGGAUCGCCCUUCCUACGGGAGGCAGCAGUGGGGAAUCUUCCGCAAUGGGCGAAAGCCUGACGGAGCAACGCCGCGUGAGCGAAGACGGCCUUCUGGUUGUAAAGCUCUGUUAUACGGGACGAAUGGCUAGUGUGCCAAUACCACAUUAGAAUGACGGUACCGUAAGAGAAAGCCACGGCUAACUACGUGCCAGCAGCCGCGGUAAUAAGGGCGAUCC